Triticum dicoccoides is the source of this 3098-nucleotide long non-coding RNA. RefSeq lists it as uncharacterized. The transcript has 17 exons. The record is from RefSeq and is a predicted model, not a curated record. Lineage: Eukaryota; Viridiplantae; Streptophyta; Magnoliopsida; Poales; Poaceae.
CCCGCGGGUCGCCCGCUCCCGCGCGCCCCUGUUGCUCCCUCCUCGAUUCUGAUCUGGAUCGAGGGGACGAGGAGCUCCUACCUCCCCGACGGCCGGCCUCCUCCUCGCCCCGCCGCUGCGUCCGGCGCCGCCACGGCCUCUGGAGCACGGCUCCGAUGAGGAACCCACCCACGGUGUGCGAGGGGUCUCUUCCCGUACGUCAAGGCAUCCCGCCUCACGUUUCCUCUUUUGGCAUCAUGGGCCGCCGCCGCACUCCCUCCCCCGGCUGCCCCGCGGGCUUCUAUCUCUCCCAGCUCCGCUGCCGCGCCCCGCCUUCCAUCUCUACAUGAAUCGUUGUUGUGGAAGCCAUGCCCCACCGCGCCACCCGGCGGCCAUCUAGGCACGCCGUGUCCAGGAUGAUGGAGUUGAGUCGGCCAGGUCCCUGUUCCCGUUGGCAUCGGGACCCGUGGGGGCAAGCCGCGCGCUGCUCAUCUGCGUCGAUGGCGUCGGCGCGGCCUUCCCCUGCCAAGACCGGCGGCUCCUUGGCUGGAUCCUCUCCUCUCCUCUCUUCCACCUCUCGUGGUCGGGUGCUCCUUCCGUCGAUGUCGAGGUCUUAGUCUCGGUGAUUUCUCCUUGUAUGUUCUGUUGAUAUUGGUACCGUGUUCUGAACCUUGCUGCUUUGGAAAGGGUGGGGUUUCAGUUUUGAUGGUUCUGUUCAAUUCAAGGGUGGUUCGAACACCAGUGCAGUACGGGCUGGGACAGACAUCAUCUUGUCUCUGUCUCUACUAAUUCAAAUUACAUGUAACUUAUUCCCUCAAAAAAAUUACAUGUAAUUUAUUCAGUUCUACAGCAGCCAAGUGCGGGGCAUCGCACCGAUGACAGUGACUGCAAUGAGGGUGAGAUGCCGAUGUUCGUGCCGGCGCCGGAGACUGUGACCACAACUCGGGGCAAGGUGCUGGUGUCAGCGACGUCGCUCGUGUUAGCCCCUUGAGUUUUGGACCUGCCGUGCUCUGGUUCUGGAAGCUGCCAUUCCCAUCGAGCCCCUCCAGCAGCCUUCAGGAGCUCAGCUUUGUGAUCAGUCAUUUAAAGUAUUUGAGAAACUUGAAGGGAAGCACAUGGCAAAGCCAUAAUUACCUUUUAGUUAUAUUUCAAGUUGUAGGAUGGAGAGGAGAAGACUGAAAAGGAUGUUGAUAUGAGGAAUUCAAGGAAGUGGAAGAGGAAGAAAGUUCUGAUGAUGGUGAUAAUUAGUUUGACGACGAUGAUGAUUGGAACCAAGAGGAGGAAGUACUUGCCGCUAAAACCCACCAAAAAAAUAGCAAGAAAAUUGAUGGUGGGAGCUAGCAAUGCCAGCAGUGCCUCCUUUAGGAUUACAAAAUCGGUAAUCCUAUCUUCGCUUGCAUGUGACUGAUGGUGAUGCUACACAAGUUCUGAAGGCAGUGCCCUCCCCUUCAGCAGGAGAUCUUGCUGGUUCUGCAUGGCACAACUGGAUUAAAUAUGCUACAGCAAGCGAAGGAGUUCAACGAUGUUGUUGGAAUCAAAGGAUUCAUCCUAAUGAAAUUAGACGGGACUGCUCGUGUUGGCUGUGUGUUAUGGGCGAUUUCCAAUCCUUUAUUGUAACAGAUACAAAUUCCAGUCCUGGAUCUUAAAUAUACGACAACUAAACUUGCUGACCUGAAUCCUGUCUCAGAAACAGAAGCAAGUACGGCCACAACCUCCAAUACUACUACGACUGAUGGCUAUCCUCUACCCGAGGAGAAAAACUGCAUUCAGAGGGUUACGGAAUGGCAAUGGGUGGGUUACCUCCCAGGAGCAGAUGACUGGCAUGGUUAGUGAUCACUAGGCCAUGAAUCUCAUGGAUCGCAUGAUACAGUAUUUUUAUGGUGCAGGUAUCUGGUCUAGAUCCGACGGAGACAAGAAAAAUCGUGCCGCUGCUUCUUCUUUCGAUUGAAAAUCCAGGUGAAAACUUUCAGGAACUCAGGACGACACGCAUUGAUUAUAUUUCAUUGUGAUGGCCGUUGCCGCCACAGCUACUAUGGGUACAAGCAACUUCUAUUUCGCUCGUCACCGGAAACCACCGCCCAGAUCCAUCUCUUCUCAACUAUGCCGACGUGGUGGUCAGGGGCGCUUACAACUUGUGAGGGCCUGCGUUCUUGCUGUUGAUCCGUGAUGGCAUGGCCUCCCCGCGCCCUAGCCGCAUUCUAGCUGAUGGUUUGGGUUUGCCGGUGGAGGGAGAGGGGGACGACCUCUGUCGCUCCUUCUCUCUAGCCUCUUCAUCUUGAUGAAGCCGUAGGAGUAGAGGGGCACGCGCGUGAUGGAUCUGCUCCAAGCACCUCAAGCCACGCAUCUUCAAGGUGAUCACUUCAUCCACAUUCAAUCUCAGUUCCCGCGUUUACUCCGAGGAGAGUUCAAAAGCAGCAGGAGCAGUUGUUCUACUGCUGGUCGGAGGGAGAGCUUGGCAAGAGGGAUAGAGGGAGCUCUACAACCACGAUCUUGGCAUACGACCCGAUGGCAUCAUGCCCAACUUGUGUGUUUCAUUGAUGGAGGAGGUAUAAAUCUGUUCCUUAAAGCGAGCAAAUCAAAACAAAAAUGCAGGAGGUAUCCGACAACACUGACGAUACGCCAUUCCACUUAGACCUGAGGGCAACAUCAAAGGACGCCACCGACAGCAGAGAUCAACAAGUUCUUCACCGUCGGGGAGAAGGUGGAGGUCGAAUGUUUCACCGUCAAGUGCAGACUUAUCGUUCAGCUACAGUCACUUGAUCAUCGUCACAGACACCGCCACACUAAGAAUUGUGCAGCUGCUCUACUUUCAGACGAGCACUGCAAUAGUACAUGCUACUCUCAGCGACUACUAACGUGAAGUUGCACUCAGGCUCUCGCAUAUACUAAAGAGUGCGGCUUUUGGACAUCCUUAGCACGAUAAGCGCAAACAUGAAAAUUAGACGCCACCUUGGAUUUGUCUGGUUGUUAACUUGUGGUCAUUAAACACAUAUAUAUUGUGCUCUGUCCAUAUGCUCUAGAGCAAACAAGCAAUGAUAGUGGACUGCAGUUUCUGGGGUAUCACGCCCAUUUAAACUGAUGGUGCAAGUUCAGCAGUGUCAUCAAUGGAACAAAUAAAG